UCCUACGGGGGGCAGCAGUGAGGAAUAUUGCGCAAUGGGGGAAACCCUGACGCAGCAACGCCGCGUGGGUGAAGAAGGCUUUCGGGUUGUAAAGCCCUGUCAGGUGGGAAGAACCUUCUGCAGGUGAAUAGUCUGCGGAACUGACGGUACCACCAAAGGAAGCACCGGCUAACUCCGUGCCAGCAGCCGCGGUAAGACGGAGGGUGCAAGCGUUGUUCGGAAUCACUGGGCGUAAAGCGCGUGUAGGCGGUCCGAUAAGUCGAAUGUGAAAGCCCGAGGCUCAACCUCGGAAGUGCAUUCGAAACUGUCGGGCUUGAGUACGGGAGAGGGAAGUGGAAUUCCUGGUGUAGAGGUGAAAUUCGUAGAUAUCAGGAGGAACACCGGUGGCGAAGGCGGCUUCCUGGACCGAUACUGACGCUGAGACGCGAAAGCGUGGGGAGCAAACAGGAUUAGAAACCCCAGUAGUCCG
This 469-nucleotide ribosomal RNA is filed under the name uncultured bacterium. Its description in RNAcentral is "bacterial SSU rRNA". It matches the Rfam family "Bacterial small subunit ribosomal RNA", at positions 337 to 797 of the family's 1533-position model. The record is from RNAcentral.